Molecule: long non-coding RNA, 262 nt
Organism: Microtus oregoni (creeping vole)
Lineage: Eukaryota; Metazoa; Chordata; Mammalia; Rodentia; Cricetidae
Exons: 4
Source: RefSeq, a predicted model, not a curated record
GUCGUAGGACUGACGCUAGGCAUCGCAGAUACAACCACAACCUCCAACUCCUGAAACCACUUUCAUCGCGAAGUACUCAGGCUUGAACCAUGAGCCUUAUACCUGCUGGACAAGAACUCUACUGAUCAGUAGAUGGUUCAUGAGAACACUUCUCUGGCUUAGUCUCCGUGACAGGGCAGAAACCAACCAAGAGUCAUGCAGGACACUUUUGAGUCCAUCCAGCUAGUAAAUGUUGACAGAGACCCACAUUGGAGCACUGGGC